This is a long non-coding RNA of Macadamia integrifolia, 2339 nucleotides long. RefSeq lists it as uncharacterized. The record is from RefSeq and is a predicted model, not a curated record. The transcript is spliced from 3 exons. Lineage: Eukaryota; Viridiplantae; Streptophyta; Magnoliopsida; Proteales; Proteaceae.
UCCUUUCCCAAUUGCAAACUUCUUCUUUAUUCGAUUUCCUGUUUUAACUCUUUCACCAAAAAAAAACAAUGAUAUGCUUAACUUGCCGGAGCAGUGAAACUGGAGAUUGAACUUUCUUUGAAGGAGAUCGAAUGUUUCAUGAAGGAGAUCGAGAAAAGCAAUAGUUGCACAAGAGAAUCGUUGGGUUUGAUUUUAUAUUGCUAGAGUUUAACCUAUCCCGAAAACACAGCAGCAAGAUAAGGGCUUGGACAUCCACCGCAGAAUCGUUGUGUUUGAUUUCCUAUUGCAAGGAUUCAACAAGAGAGUUGCAACCUAUCGCGAGAACACAUCAGCAAGAUAAGGGCUUGGACUUGGCCAGACAAAUGGAAGGUGGAACAUCACAAUUGUAGCCAAUCUUUGUCGAAAGAAAAAUGGUGGACUGUCAAAGUGAUGGAUACCCAGAUCUCAUACCAAAGGAUGCCAAUAUGGGAUCUGUGACCCCAACAUUGUACAUUGGGAAAACUUUUGGAAGUUCUGAACAAGCUUUUCAUGAAUAUAGCAUCUAUGCAAGGAAGCAGGGAUUCUCUGUUAAGAAGCAAAGGUGUGAAAAAAGAGAAACUGAGGAUCAUGAAGUAUAUCGACGAGACUUUGUUUGCCAUCGAUUUGGCAAUGGAAGUAAAAAAGGUGUAGUUAUUGAAAACAACAAAGAAUUAAGUCUUGUCGUUGUAAUUGUAAAGCACACAUGAGUGUUGGCUUGUCUAGGAAUGCGGAUGUGAUGUUGUGGGAAAUUCAUAGUUUUGCAGAUAACCACAACCACGAAUUACAAACAAGGUCCGUCAUGUGAGAGCAUAUCGGCAUAUUUCUGGCCACUAAAGGCAGCGUAUCUUGACACUUAAAAAAUCUAGGGUACUAGUUCCCCAAAUACUUAGGAUAUUGGAAACAGAGCAACAAGUUGGGGUUGGUUGUCUUUUAUUCAACGUGAAGGAUAUAUACAACUUCCUAAGCUCACAAAAAUUAUUUAUGAGGGAAAAUGAUACAGCCAAUCUUGUCCUCAAAUGCAAACAUUUGAAAUCCUUAGAUUUGGAGUUCCAAUAUGAGUAUCCAGUUGGCGACUACAACCAUUUGGAGUACAUUACUUGGUGUCACAGCAGUUCUGUUCGUGGUUAUCAACUCUAUGGUGAUGUUGUUGUUUUUGACACAACUUAGAAGUUAAAUGUGUAUAACAUGCCUAUAGGUGUAUGGGUUGGUGUGAAUAACCAUGGCUGUUUUAUUUUUCUUGGGUGUUUUUUAAUAAGGGAUGAGAGACAAACGUCUUUUGAGUGGGCAUUCAAGGUAUUAGUCUAAUUUUUUUAUACACUUGUACUCUACUUUUUAACAAUGUAUGCUGAUAGGUGUUCUUGAAGUUAAUCAGUGGCAAGGCCUCCAAAAAUAUUAUCACUGAUGAUGAUCCCCAAAUUGGUGCUGCCAUUGAGAACAUUUGUCCGGCCACGAAGCACGCAUUAUGCAUGUGGCAUAUUGCAAAAAAAAUUUCCCGAAGUGUUGUCUAUUGUUUUGAAAGCUCGAUUUAAGGAAUGGAACAAGACCUUUCAAGAACUAAGCAAGAUAGAGACAGUCGAAGACUUUGACAAGGGUUGGCAAUCAAUGUUGGAAGAGUACGAGUUAGUAACUAAUGUACAUUUAAGGAGACUAUUUUGUGGCCGUACUAUGUGGGCAAAACCAUAUCUCAGGUCUUAUUUCUUUGCUGGGAUGAGGACUACUGGCAGAUCCAAGUCAAUGAAUGCAUUCAUAAAGCAGAUAAUUUCAUCACAAACUCUUCUAACAGAUUUUAUUGAUUAGGUAUCAGUACUUAAUUGUGUGAUUUUUUGGUUUUUUUAUUACUGUUUUUAAUUUGUGAUAUUUGGAGCUAGUGAGAUCGAUUAUUUCACUAAGCAUCUUGUCAUCUAAUUGUUGUUGUUUGCUCAUAUUGGAAAGGCAGCAGAUAUGUUGGAUCAAAAGGGAGAGCAGAAAGGCAUGCAACAAAAAGCAACUAUAGUAUCAAUUUUGACUCAACACCCAAUUGAGUUGCAUGCCUCUAAAAUUCUCACUCCCUAUGCCUUCCUUAAGUCCCAGAACGAGAUAGUGGAAUCCUAGUCAUACGCAUGUUAUGAACAUGACCCUGGGUUUUGGAUCGUUCGACAUGCGGAGCAUGAUGUUAAGUGGAGAACAGUUCAACAUUUAGUUGGGGAAGAAACUGUUAAGUGUAGUUGUAAGUCCUUCGAGUUUAAAGGCAUCCUUUGUAGGCAUGCAACUGUUGUCCUCAUAAGAAGCAACUUAUUUCAUACACCUGACCAAUACCUACUCCCACGGUGGCGACGCGAUGC